Molecule: long non-coding RNA, 2153 nt
Organism: Vollenhovia emeryi
Lineage: Eukaryota; Metazoa; Arthropoda; Insecta; Hymenoptera; Formicidae
Exons: 3
Source: RefSeq, a predicted model, not a curated record
GGUUGCUCGCCCGAUGCCUUCCAGGGCGCCGCUUCCUCUCAGAUUCCUCCAUUUCGCACUGGCACUCGCGAAAGAGAAGCAAACUAUAUCCGAGUAACGCGCGACGCAGGACACUCGGCGUUAACCGACGCGGAAAGAAGUAAUACGCGUCGCGCGAAAUGGCGGGAACGUUCCGGCGCGAAGGACUCGGAGGUACGCGAGGCUCCUCGACGCGUCUCGCGACCGAACGCGAGGCGCGUUCGACGAGGGGGCGACCUCGCGUCAACAUUUCUUUCGCCGCGCGUCACGCGCGGAAAGAACUGUCUCUACACGCGCGCGAAGAGACGCGAGUUGAAACUGGAGCUCGGUGUACCGGCGGCGCGCCCAAAGAUUCCGGCCGGGGAUUCUCGAGGUGGAUCGUCGAGACGCGCGAGUCUCGAAUAAUCCACGCCGCGAUUGCUCAACUCGUCAGUGCUGAACUCACCACAGUCGUGAAAAGCGUCGCGACGACCGGUCCGCUGCGUGUCCGCGAUGCUUCUCCGCAGGACUAACAUGGCGCGCCCGUCACCCGGCGUUUCUCCGCGCGAUACUACGCGAGUCAAGUCGGCGACGCGACCCGAGUCACCCGAGUGUCAACUUUGAUGUCGCACGCGCGACGUGUCUCGAGCAAACGCGCGCACAUAAAAUCCACACGCGGCUUUCCUCGACUCGAAUUACAUCGCAGGAAUAACGAGCGCGGACGGCGAUUCGACGAUCUGCCCUUUCUGCAACUCGAAAGUGCACGGCGCUCCGAGCAACGACGACGACGACGGUAACCGCGGAAUCGAGACGCUCGAUUGCGUGGCCGCGCGGCGCGGCUUAAUCGUACGGAGAACGAUCGCGCACGUCGCAUAGCGUACGUGUGUACGUGACCGCGGCUCGAACGAUACUGCGACGCACCGAACGGUUUCUCUGACCUUGCCGCGCGCAGCGGCCGCGGCGGCUCGAGACAAACAAGCGACGUCUGCGGCGGCUCGAGAAAAAACAAGCGACUGCUGCGGCGGCUCGAGGCAGACGAGCGGCGACCCGCGCCGAGGUCAGACGUGCGUCGCGCUGUAUCGCUCGAACUGCCGUACGUGCGGCACGGGACUGCGCGUGAUCGUGUGGAUUGGCACGUCGUCUUCGUUUCGCGGAGCAGUCGGAGCGUCAACGAAUCGUCGUGUCGUCGUCUACCGUUCGCGCGCGCUGUUCUCUCGAUGGAUUUUGAGCAAAGAAGACCCGCGAGUUCGUCGAUCGUUUUCGUCAAGAGAAUUUCAGUGUACGUUUAUUUCGGAUACAUCGCGCGCGCGAUAAAUUCACUCGACUAUCGAGAAGUGAUACUCCAGUGGCGUCGCCGACUUGACUCGCGUAGUAGCAGCACAGAGUAACGCCGGGUAGCGACGCCAUGUUGUGGUCUUGCGGCAGAAGCAUCGCGGAGUCUCGCGGACACGCAAGCGGACCGGCCCGCCGCGCCGACGGUCGUCGCGACGCUUUCUACGACUGCGGGUGAGUUUAACACCGACGAGUUGAGCAAUCGCGGCGCGGAUUAUUCGAGACUCGCGCGUCUCGGCGAUCCCGCGAGACGCGCGAGUCCCGCGACAAACGCCGGCCGGGAAUCUCGUCGCGGGAAGCCGGGAUCCUCGCUGCGCCGCGGGUACGUCGAGCUCCAGUUUCAACUCGCGUCUCUUCGCGCGUGUAGAGACAGUUUUUUCCGACGCGUGACGCGCGGCGAAAGAGAUGUUGGCGCGAGGUCGCGCCGUCGAACGCGCUCGCGCUCGGUUGCGAGACGCGUCGGGCCUCGCGUAUCUCCGCGUUCCCGCCAUUUCGCGCGACGCCAUCGCGGCGGCGCGCGUUUCUUUCUCUCGCGUCGGUUAACGCCGGGAGUGCGCCGCGUCGCGCGUUACUCGGAUACGAUUUGCUUCUUCUCCGCGAGUGCCGCGAAUUGUGCCGAGCGCGAAAUGGAGGAAUCUGAGAGGAAGCGGCGGCCCAGGUGGCAUCGGGCGACGCCGGAGCAACCCUCUGAUCGGCGCUUCUCUUCCGGGAAUUCGACGGGGCAGCUGUACGAGUCGACGCUACGGUAGAAAUCGGCGCAGCUGACAGACGCGGAUUAAGGGUCGAUACUAACGAAUGGCUUGGGGCUGAAGUUGUGUCCGGUG